UACGUAGGGGGCAAGCGUUGUCCGGAUUUAUUGGGCGUAAAGAGCGUGUAGGCGGCUGGGUAGGUCCGUUGUGAAAACUCGAGGCUCAACCUCGAGACGCCGAUGGAAACCCUCCAGCUAGAGUCCGGAAGAGGAGAGUGGAAUUCCUGGUGUAGCGGUGGAAUGCGCAGAUAUCAGGAAGAACACCUAUGGCGAAGGCAGCUCUCUGGGACGGUACUGACGCUGAGACGCGAAAGCGUGGGGAGCGAACAGG
This 253-nucleotide ribosomal RNA is filed under the name uncultured bacterium. RNAcentral describes it as "partial 16S ribosomal RNA". It matches the Rfam family "Bacterial small subunit ribosomal RNA", at positions 524 to 776 of the family's 1533-position model. The record is from RNAcentral.